GGAGAGCUCGCCAGUUCUGUCUCUCACUACCGUCUCCGUCGGAGCUGCCGCCACGGUCGCCGGAGCUUCUGGCCGAGCCUCAACCGCCGGGAAACCGUUACUGGAGCCUGUGUCAUUUGGAUUUCAUCGCGAGUUACCUCCACCAGAAACCACCACUGUGAUUCUGAUCACCGGGGACGACUCUGUGACUUUCGGGAUCACCGCUGAAGCUCCAGGCAGAGUUUCUGCCGCUUGAGACCUUGCUGUUGUCGCCGGAAAAUUUUGCCGUUGAUCCACCGGAGCUUCUGGCCGCCGCCGGAGCUGUGCCGGGGCCGGUUCGAAUCCGCAGCUGCUUCGUGUUGAUUUUCCGAGUUGUUUAUGCUGCUGCGAAAAUGUGUGGGGCUGUGCUUUGAAGCUGCCUUUGAUUUUGAGUUGAGGCGAAAAAGGACUCUGUGA
This is a long non-coding RNA of Arachis duranensis, 435 nucleotides long. RefSeq lists it as uncharacterized. The record is from RefSeq and is a predicted model, not a curated record. Lineage: Eukaryota; Viridiplantae; Streptophyta; Magnoliopsida; Fabales; Fabaceae. The transcript is spliced from 3 exons.